CCGGCGAUGUCCGAAUGGGGAAACCCAGUGCAAUUCGUUGCACUAUCGUUAACUGAAUACAUAGGUUAACGAGGCGAACCGGGGGGAACUGAAACAUCUAAGUACCCCGAGGAAAAGAAAUCAACCGAGAUUCCCCCAGUAGCGGCGAGCGAACGGGGGAGCAGCCCAGAGUCUGAAUCAGCUUGUGUGUUAGUGGAACGGUCUGGAAAGUCCGACGGUACAGGGUGAUAGUCCCGUACACCAAAAUGCACAGGCUGUGAACUCGAAGAGUAGGGCGGGACACGUGGUAUCCUGUCUGAAUAUGGGGG
RNAcentral lists this ribosomal RNA (308 nucleotides) under Klebsiella pneumoniae. Its description in RNAcentral is "bacterial LSU rRNA". It matches the Rfam family "Bacterial large subunit ribosomal RNA", at positions 104 to 450 of the family's 2925-position model. Lineage: Bacteria; Pseudomonadati; Pseudomonadota; Gammaproteobacteria; Enterobacterales; Enterobacteriaceae. The record is from RNAcentral.